RNAcentral lists this non-coding RNA (952 nucleotides) under Rhoptropus boultoni (Boultons Namib day gecko). RNAcentral's name for it is "12S ribosomal RNA". It matches the Rfam family "Bacterial small subunit ribosomal RNA". Lineage: Eukaryota; Metazoa; Chordata; Lepidosauria; Squamata; Gekkonidae. The record is from RNAcentral.
CAAGAUUUUAGUCCUAAACCUAUUAAUAUCUAGGGCUGACGUUACACAUGCUAGCAUCCGCACUCCCGUGUUCAUGCCCAACCUCCGCUCUCACGGACUAGGAGCUGGUAUCAGGCACAACACCUCCGUAGCCCAAGACACCAAGCUACUUGCCACACCCCCACGGAAUCCAGCAGUGAUAAACAUUAAGCAAUAAGUUAACGCUCGACUUAGACUAAAGCCCACCCAGGGCCGGUUAACUGCGUGCCAGCCACCGCGGUUAUACGUAGGGCCCGAGACAAUUAUCUACGGCGUAAAGCGUGACCAGAGGCCCAACACCAAGAAGUUUCAAGUAGGUAAGAGCCGUAAAACGCUUAUUACCGUAAAUUUUCCAUCAACUUCUUAUAGCAACUUCACCACACGAAAGCUGGGGCACAAACUGGGAUUAGAUACCCCACUAUGCCCAGCCCUUAACUAAGGCAGUUUAAUCACACCACUGCUCGCCAGAGAAUUACUAGCAAAAAGCUUAAAACUCAAAGGACUUGACGGUGCUCCACAGCAACCUAGAGGAGCCUGUCCUAUAAUCGAUGAUCCACGUUUAACCCGACCCUCCCUUGCAACCCCAGCCUAUAUACCGCCGUCGCCAGUCAGCCUUGUGAAAGCUCACACAGCCAGCGCAACUACCGCCCCGCCAAAACGUCAGGUCAAGGUGUAGCUGAUGGGGGGGGUAGAGAUGGGCUACAUUUCCUUUCACAGGAUAAUCCACCACAAACACUGUGAAAAUCAGUGCUAAAAGGCGGAUUUAGCAGUAAGACCGGAUUAGAUGCCCGACCUGAAGACUGCUCUGGAUCGCGUACACACCGCCCGUCACCCUCCUCGACCAAUUACUAAAACCAUAAAUAAAAAUUACAAUACACAAUAGUAUGAGGCAAGUCGUAACAAGGUAAGUGUACCGGAAGGUGUACUUGGAAUA